This is a small nucleolar RNA of Cavia porcellus (domestic guinea pig), 132 nucleotides long. Its record names the gene SNORA72. It matches the Rfam family "Small nucleolar RNA SNORA72". Rfam says of the family: U72 is a member of the H/ACA class of snoRNAs. The snoRNA gene is located in intron 4 of the ribosomal L30 protein gene in human, mouse and chicken. The record is from Ensembl. NCBI's taxonomy places the organism in Eukaryota, Metazoa, Chordata, Mammalia, Rodentia, Caviidae.
CUGCAAAUAUUCUCGCUGUUCUGAUUGUGUCAUAAUCAGGGCAGGCUAAACAUUUGCUAUAGUAAGACCAUGCAUGUGUCCCCAGACCUUGAUCUUUCCCUAGGUCUGGUUUUAUAAAUGCUGCUGAUAAAU